Molecule: RNA transcript, 1856 nt
Organism: Impatiens glandulifera
Lineage: Eukaryota; Viridiplantae; Streptophyta; Magnoliopsida; Ericales; Balsaminaceae
Gene name: protein SUPPRESSOR OF FRI 4-like
Exons: 10
Source: RefSeq, a predicted model, not a curated record
AUGCUGUGAAAGGGCAGGAAGAAACCCUAACCUUAAUCUGCAGCAGCGUUCCAGCCAAAUUCAAUUGCCCUUUCUCCAUAGAGAGGGUUUGAUCACUUGGGUGGCGAUUUGAGCGAUGGGUAAGAAGAAGAAGAGAUCAGCGGACAAGGUAUGGUGCUAUUACUGCGAACGGGAGUUCGAUGACGAGAAGGUACUGGUGCAGCACCAAAAGGCUAAGCAUUUCAAGUGCCACGCCUGCCACAAGAAGCUCUCCACUGCCAGCGGCAUGAUUAUUCAUGUCCUCCAGGUUCAUAAGGAGACUGUUACCAAGGUUCCCAAUGCAAAAGAAGGUCGGGAAUCGCCCGCGAUCGAGAUAUAUGGUAUGCAAGGGAUUCCACCUGAUGUUUUAGCUGCUCAUUAUGGAAAAGAAGAGGAGGAGGCUCCUUCUAAGCUGCAUAAAGUGAAUACCCCGACGUCUCAAUACAUCCGUGGUGUCAUGCCAGGGUCUCUAGGUGCUAGCUAUCCUCAGGCAAAUAGAAUCCCUCCAGUAUUUAAUCCAGUAUUCCAAAUGCCUCCAUCUGGUUGGCAAGUUCCUCCUCGGCCCCAAGCCUGGUUCUCGCAGAACCCCACUGUUUCACUUCCUUCUGCGCCCUUAGGUGUUCAACAACCGUUGUUCCCUACACAGACUGUGAGGCCUCCUGUACUAUCUGCCAUGCCAACAGUUCAACCAUCAAUGGCUGUGGUUCUUCCCAUGAUCCCCUCCAUUCCCCCUGCUGUUUCAGUAUCUCAACCUUUGUUUCCUGUUUUUGCCAAUAAUAGUAUCACUUCACAAAGUGCACCAUUUAUGACAUCUCUAUCGCCAAAUGUGUCUUUAUACUCUCAACCAGAACUUAACCCCAUGAGUGAACAGCUUGCAAAUAAUACUUUUGGGGGAAGUAGCUACAACUUACCUGAUAUGCAAGGUGGAGCACCUGUGACCUUGCAUUCUUAUGCAUCUGGUCCAGACACUAGUGGCCCCUCAAUUGGACCUCCGCCUGUAAUUGCAAACAAAGCCCCCUCUAUACAGCCUGCUUCAAAAGAGGUGUAUCUAGUCUGGGAUGAUGAGGCAAUGUCUAUGGAAGAAAGACGAAUGUCCUUGGUCAAGUAUCAGGUGAAUGAUGAAACUAGCCAGAUGAGCUCGAUUGAUGCUGCUAUAGACAAAAGGAUAUCUGCAAGCAGGCUUGCUGGUCGAAUGGGGUUUUAGAGUUGUGGACGAGCUAGAAGGAUUCUCUCCAAAGCAAAUGGUGCAUUGAUUUUAUAAGACGCGAAUGCAAGCAAUUUCAGGGGAUUAGGUCAAAAAGGAUGAGGAGGCAAACACAGUCUAUCCCAAGAAACUCGCUAGCUUUAUCAAGAUUCAAGAACAAUAUGCAUCUGGAUUUGUUGUGGUUCAAGAAGAACUCUUUCCAGUUGCUGCUCAUGAGGUUUCUUUACUUUUAUUCUAUAUAGUCUAUCAAAAGUUGCCAUCCUAUUUCUUAUACACAUGCAGGUUGUGUUGCAGAAGUUCAUGUGGGUGAUCUCAUCCACAUGAUAACAGGUGGAAAUCAAGCAAAUCAUACCGAAAUGGAAUUGUAUAUCCAGAAUAGUCCUAAGAAGACACAUGAUCAUGAUCCCUAUAUGCUUAAUCGCCUGACAACAUUUUGAACAAAAGAAAGAAGAAGAAGAAGAUGAAGAAUACUAUACAAGUGGAAAAGCCCUCGGAUCAUGAUUCUCAUAUUAUCUCAAGUCAAAGAAAAUGAUGCAAGAGGAGAAAUGUGGUUGUUUUGCUCAGUCAGUCUGGAGAUCAUUUUAGGGGCAUGUCAAUUCCUGAAUAUUUGCCUCUUUUUUUUUUUUUUUUUUUU